AGUGAACGCUGGCGGUAGGCCUAACACAUGCAAGUCGAACGGCAGCACAGUAAGAGCUUGCUCUUACGGGUGGCGAGUGGCGGACGGGUGAGGAAUACAUCGGAAUCUACUUUUUCGUGGGGGAUAGCGUAGGGAAACUUACGCUAAUACCGCAUACGACCUACGGGUGAAAGCAGGGGAUCUUCGGACCUUGCGCGAUUGAAUGAGCCGAUGUCGGAUUAGCUAGUUGGCGGGGUAAAGGCCCACCAAGGCGACGAUCCGUAGCUGGUCUGAGAGGAUGAUCAGCCACACUGGAACUGAGACACGGUCCAGAUUCCUACGGGAGGCAGCAGUGGGGAAUAUUGGACAAUGGGCGCAAGCCUGAUCCAGCCAUACCGCGUGGGUGAAGAAGGCCUUCGGGUUGUAAAGCCCUUUUGUUGGGAAAGAAAAGCAGCAGGUUAAUACCCCGCUGUUCUGACGGUACCCAAAGAAUAAGCACCGGCUAACUUCGUG
Molecule: ribosomal RNA, 492 nt
Filed under: uncultured bacterium
Lineage: Bacteria
Description: partial 16S ribosomal RNA
Rfam family: Bacterial small subunit ribosomal RNA
Source: RNAcentral